Molecule: ribosomal RNA, 253 nt
Filed under: uncultured bacterium
Lineage: Bacteria
Description: partial 16S ribosomal RNA
Rfam family: Bacterial small subunit ribosomal RNA
Source: RNAcentral
UACGAAGGGGGCUAGCGUUGCUCGGAAUCACUGGGCGUAAAGGGCGCGUAGGCGGCUCUUUAAGUCGGGGGUGAAAGCCUGAGGCUCAACUCCAGAACUGCCUUUGAUACUGGCGAUCUUGAGUCCGGGAGAGGUGAGUGGAACUGCGAGUGUAGAGGUGAAAUUCGUAGAUAUUCGCAAGAACACCAGUGGCGAAGGCGGCUCACUGGCCCGGUACUGACGCUGAGGUGCGAAAGCGUGGGGAGCAAACAGG